AUCUGGGCGGCGGAAUUCAGGAUGGCUGGCGUGCUCUCGCAGUACGUCGGUCGUUUGAUAUUUCCGUCGCCAACUAACCGCAGACGUCGCGACCUGUUCGCGGUCGGUCCCUGCUCGGAGGAGCCGCGAUCGAGUUCGUUGUGGGCGCGUCUCGUACGCGUCUCACGGCGAAGACGCGGAUCUCUGGCUGGCCGUCGGACAGUAUGCUUAACGGUGUCCGGUGUCGUCGUCUCGUACGCGCGGCACCGCUACCGGUCAGCGACGAAUUCUUCGGGCCUCUUUCCGACCCGUCUUGAAACACGGACCAAGGAGUCUAACAUGCGCGCGAGUCGCGGGGUAUCGAGCGUACUUCGGUGCGUUCGUUAUGUUGCGAAACCCGUACAUGUCGAAGGCGUAAUGAAAGUGAAUGGGGAAGAUGGUGUUCCGAGUACACGUUCCGUGAUCAUCGGCAUCGCGGCCGGACACCCGCAUUCCCGGGGCGUCUCAACGGCCCGUCGCUGAUGCGGACAGUCGUCUUUCGGGGCGGCUGUCGGUCGGCGACGAACCGA
This 548-nucleotide ribosomal RNA is filed under the name Morganella conspicua. Its description in RNAcentral is "partial large subunit ribosomal RNA". Lineage: Eukaryota; Metazoa; Arthropoda; Insecta; Hemiptera; Diaspididae. The record is from RNAcentral.